RNAcentral lists this transfer RNA (78 nucleotides) under Candidatus Methanomassiliicoccus intestinalis Issoire-Mx1. RNAcentral's name for it is "tRNA-Arg (TCT) (tRNA-Arg-TCT-1-1)". It matches the Rfam family "tRNA". Rfam says of the family: Transfer RNA (tRNA) molecules are approximately 80 nucleotides in length. Their secondary structure includes four short double-helical elements and three loops (D, anti-codon, and T loops). Lineage: Archaea; Methanobacteriati; Thermoplasmatota; Thermoplasmata; Methanomassiliicoccales; Methanomassiliicoccaceae. RNAcentral also lists the same sequence under 1 other name. The record is from RNAcentral.
GGGCUCGUGGCUUAGCCUGGAUAUAGCACUGGCCUUCUAAGUCAGUGGUCGGGGGUUCGAAUCCCCCCGAGCUCGCCA